This 509-nucleotide ribosomal RNA is filed under the name uncultured bacterium. RNAcentral's name for it is "bacterial SSU rRNA". It matches the Rfam family "Bacterial small subunit ribosomal RNA", at positions 1 to 507 of the family's 1533-position model. The record is from RNAcentral.
AUAUGCAGAAACCACCUUGAAGUAAACAUAAUAAAAUAAAGGUUUCUGCAUUACGCUAAUAAAAGUGCCAACACAUCGCAAUCGAGUAUUGAGUGUUAAAACACCAGAUAGCGGCGGACGGGUGAGUAACGCGUGAGCAAUCUGCCUUAUACAGGGGGAUAACAGCCGGAAACGGCUGCUAAUACCGCAUAAGACCACAGCAGCGCAUGCUGCAGGGGUAAAAGGAGGAAUCCGGUAUAAGAUGAGCUCGCGUCCCAUUAGCUAGUUGGUAGGGUAACGGCCUACCAAGGCGACGAUGGGUAGCCGACCUGAGAGGGUGACCGGCCACACUGGGACUGAGACACGGCCCAGACUCCUACGGGAGGCAGCAGUGGGGAAUAUUGCGCAAUGGGGGGAACCCUGACGCAGCAACGCCGCGUGAGUGAAGAAGGUCUUCGGAUCGUAAAGCUCUGUCUUUGGGGACGAAAGAGAUGACGGUACCCAAGGAGGAAGCCCCGGCUAACUACGUG